UGGGGAAUAUUGCACAAUGGAGGGAACUCUGAUGCAGCGACGCCGCGUGAACGAAGAAGGCUUUCGAGUCGUAAAGUUCUUUUAUAUGGGAAGAUAAUGACGGUACCAUAAGAAAAAGCCCCGGCUAACUACGUGCCAGCAGCCGCGGUAAUACGUAGGGGGCUAGCGUUGUCCGGAAUUAUUGGGCGUAAAGGGUACGUAGGUGGUUUUUUAAGUCAGGUGUCAAAGCGUGGAGCUUAACUCCAUUAAGCACUUGAAACUGAAAGACUUGAGUGAAGGAGAGGAAAGUGGAAUUCCUAGUGUAGCGGUGAAAUGCGUAGAUAUUAGGAGGAAUACCGGUGGCGAAGGCGACUUUCUGGACUUUUACUGACGCUCAGGUACGAAAGCGUGGGGAGCAAACAGG
This 403-nucleotide ribosomal RNA is filed under the name Verrucomicrobiota bacterium. RNAcentral's name for it is "Verrucomicrobia bacterium partial 16S ribosomal RNA". It matches the Rfam family "Bacterial small subunit ribosomal RNA", at positions 355 to 776 of the family's 1533-position model. Lineage: Bacteria; Pseudomonadati; Verrucomicrobiota. The record is from RNAcentral.